Molecule: long non-coding RNA, 426 nt
Filed under: Homo sapiens (human)
Lineage: Eukaryota; Metazoa; Chordata; Mammalia; Primates; Hominidae
Description: non-protein coding lnc-COA5-1:1
Source: RNAcentral
AGCAGCUCCGCCGGCAGCCGCGGGAGCACGGCGACGCCAGCGGCGGGAAGGGAAAAGGCCGAGGCAUCAGCGUGUGAAGACCGCAAAGACGAUCCCGAGUACAGUUGUGAACAGCAUUGCUGCUAGGCUCCUCCUGCAGAUCAUCUGAAAUGAACCUCUCUUAUUGAUUUUUAUUGGCCUAGAGCCAGGAGUACUGCAUUCAGUUGACUUUCAGGGUAAAAAGAAAACAGUCCUGGUUGUUGUCAUCAUAAACAUAUGGACCAGUGUGAUGGUGAAAUGAGAUGAGGCUCCGCAAUGGAACUGUAGCCACUGCUUUAGCAUUUAUCACUUCCUUCCUUACUUUGUCUUGGUAUACUACAUGGCAAAAUGGGAAAGAAAAACUGAUUGCUUAUCAACGAGAAUUCCUUGCUUUGAAAGAACGUCUUC